UUUAUCCAUUUCAUUUGUUUCACUCACGAACCCAAUACAAUAGCUCAUAGAUGCGAUGAUUUGUCCUAAUUAUUAUGAACCAACACAAUCGAAACCUGUUUUUUCGAUUGCAUCGAUUGUUUAUCAUUCUUGUUUUAACUUCGAAUCAUAUGGAAAUCGCCUCCGCCGUCUGUUUUGCACCCAUAAAAUCAGCUGGGAAGGAUUUUGGUUAGUAUUGUAGUUGUUGGAAGUUCAAGUUAGCAAUCUGAGUACAUUUCCCCCCACCUGGUCAAUUCAGGUUAGGUUUAGAGUGUGGUUAUAACAUCCAUCAGUUCUUGCUAAUCCGAGAAUAGGUGGAUAAGGUACACGCUAUUAUCUCGAAUGUUGAUGGUUUGAUCCACUCACAAUUUUUGAGCUCAAGAAAGCAUCCAUCGUUAUUUGGGGAUUUUUUGGGUUGGCUUGUUGUGUCUAAUUUCUUAUAACGUGAAGCGUUGGGGAUAAGUAGUUUAAGGAAGAAAAAUAAGUGGCUGUGGAGGUUCUCAAAAGGGUUAACUGAGUUGUGUUGUGGCAUGGUAACGGUGAAGAUGAGCUGGGGUGGUUUACCCACAGCAUGGAAGGGCGGGAAGGAAGUUCUCGGUGUAUCUCCAAAUUCAGUUGUCAUAUCAUCUGGAGAUUUUUGUUCAGCUAUGUUCGUAAUAGGAGGAAGGAUUCGUUUUGGAAGGAAAUGUCUGGGUAAUUUACAAUUUGCAGCUAGAUUCCCAUUGUUCUUCUUAGUUUGAAGUGGGAUAAUUAAUCGGUCUUAGGUGCUUGGUUAGAGCCUAGAGGCAACUUGAUUUUGUAACGUUGUUGCUACAGGAAGAGGGAAUGGGAGAGCUAAAACUACAAGUUUCGUUGGGUCUCCUUGUGAGUUGUGUUCAGUGAUCGUUGACUCUCAAUUAUUGUUACGAGGAAGAGAAUUGGAAAAGAGGAAAAUGUCAAAUGAUAUGUUAAUGCAACUAGGAAUGUUGUGAGUGAGCACAUGACUUGGUUAUGACAUGGGCAGGGUGUGUUUAUUUUAGGGGGUAUUUGUAUAUAGCAGGAAUAGAGAGGUAUCUUUUUGGUUAGUAUAACCUUGAACUUGUCUGGGAAUUUGGGGAGAGGGAAGCUCUUGAGCUAUCCCUAGCGCACGUUGAUGUACCUUCGAUAAGAAUUGUUCUACCAGCGUUAAUUUUUUGGGGGAAAACAAGAGACAUUGACAUUUUUAUCCCUCGGGCAGCCAAUUUCUUGGUAAAACCCUUGUUAGAUGUAUUCACUCUUCUUCACCACCAGUGGACUUCCAAGACUUUGUAAAGUAUGCAAGUAGGGGAGGUUCAAGCUCAUCUAUUCUUCACUGUUCUCAUGGUUCAAAAUGUUGGGAAGGAAUAUUUCACCUCCUUGAAGUCUGAACAAUAACGGUCAUUGAUUCUUCUCCCGUUGAAAAUAUCUGUCAGUUUACUUGAUCAAAGAUUAAAGAGCUAGGUCAAAAUUUUGGAUCAAAUCUAUAAUAUCCAAUUGUGAAUCUAUGAUAUAGAGGAAACCAAAAGGUUCUCUAAGGCAAGUGCAUUGCUUGGGAGAAGAGAGUAGGUCUGGGGUGACGGCAUGCAUCUCCCUGGAGUGCUUUAUCUAGCUCUUUUUUUUUCUACAAUUACUCUUCACGUGUAAAUUGUAAUUAAUUCUAAUUGAAAUUGUGGUACUUUCAUAGAAAUCUCAAUGGGGUUCAUGUAAAUUUUUGGUCUAACUUCUCCAUACAUCAACAAGAACAUUCUUGUUGCCACUGUAUUGACAAUGCUGCUAUAAACUGAAAGCCGACAUACCGUGUUUCCCUCUUA
Long non-coding RNA from Cucumis sativus (cucumber), 1826 nucleotides. RefSeq lists it as uncharacterized. The record is from RefSeq and is a predicted model, not a curated record. Lineage: Eukaryota; Viridiplantae; Streptophyta; Magnoliopsida; Cucurbitales; Cucurbitaceae. The transcript is spliced from 2 exons.